Molecule: ribosomal RNA, 239 nt
Filed under: uncultured bacterium
Lineage: Bacteria
Description: partial 16S ribosomal RNA
Rfam family: Bacterial small subunit ribosomal RNA
Source: RNAcentral
CGUGAGGAACCUGCCUUGGAGUGGGGAAUAACAGCCAGAAAUGGCUGCUAAUACCGCAUAAUGCAGUUGGGUCGCAUGGCUCUGACUGCCAAAGAUUUAUCGCUCUAAGAUGGCCUCGCGUCUGAUUAGUUUGUUGGCGGGGUGACGGCCCACCAAGACGACGAUCAGUAGCCGGACUGAGAGGUUGGCCGGCCACAUUGGGACUGAGACACGGCCCAGACUCCUACGGAAGGCAGCAG